UCUCCGUAGGUGAACCUGCGGAGGGACCAUUACAGAGUUCUCGCCCUCGCGGGUAGAUCUCCCACCCACUGUUAUCGUUACUGUGUUGCUUUGGCGGGCCGCCGGGCCCCGCUCGGCCGCCGGCUCCGGCUGGCGCGCGCCCGCCAGAGGCCCAGCAAACUCUGAAUGUUAGUGUCGUCUGAGUACUAUAUAAUAGUUAAAACUUUCAACAACGGAUCUCUUGGUUCUGGCAUCGAUGAAGGACGCAGC
This 249-nucleotide unclassified non-coding RNA is filed under the name plant metagenome. RNAcentral's name for it is "partial contains small subunit ribosomal RNA, internal transcribed spacer 1, and 5.8S ribosomal RNA". The stretch from base 201 to 249 matches the Rfam family "5.8S ribosomal RNA", at positions 1 to 49 of the family's 154-position model. The record is from RNAcentral.